GCUUUCUGCGAUUAGAGAAGAUUCGGACCUGCGGCAGGUUCGGGUCGAACGCAGUGAGACAACGGAGCCGCUUGCGGCGACGGCCCGAAGGGCGAGCGAAGCGAGUCAUCCUGCACGACCCACCA
Molecule: small RNA, 125 nt
Filed under: Kosakonia sp. MUSA4
Lineage: Bacteria; Pseudomonadati; Pseudomonadota; Gammaproteobacteria; Enterobacterales; Enterobacteriaceae
Description: RtT sRNA
Rfam family: RtT RNA
About the family: This family represents a bacterial cis-regulatory element known as RtT RNA. The exact function of RtT is unknown although it is thought that it may be involved in changing the cellular response in relation to amino acid starvation.
Source: RNAcentral